Molecule: long non-coding RNA, 1014 nt
Organism: Thalassophryne amazonica
Lineage: Eukaryota; Metazoa; Chordata; Actinopteri; Batrachoidiformes; Batrachoididae
Exons: 4
Source: RefSeq, a predicted model, not a curated record
GGAUUCAUUUAGCCCAUUGAUGGUGUUGUUGCUGGGGUCCAGGAUCAGAACUAUCUGGUGGAUGACACCGCUGAUCUGGUGGAUGACCCAGCUGAGUGCUGCUACAGAGGAGAUGUCUCCCCUGUGUGAAUUGUCAUGUGUAUGAUCACAUCUUGUUUCUGUCUAAAUCUUUUACCACAUUCAGAACAGUCAAAUGGUUUCUCUCCUGUAUGAAUUCUCGUGUCUGGUCAUAUUGCUCUUUUGUGCAAAUCUUUUACCACAUACAGAACAUUCAAAUGGUUUCUCUCCUGUAUGAACUCUCGUGUGUGAUCAUAUCAUGCUUGUGUACAAAUCUUUUACCACAUUCAGAACAGUCAAAUGGUUUUCUACUUCCUUGAAUUCUUCUGUGUUGCUUUGAGACCGAAAACGUUCUCUAGUCUGUUUCUGUUCACAACUGUUGUCAGUAUCAGUUUUAGAACUGUCUGAAUUCCUUCCAUUGGCAUCUGGUUUUAAACACCCAGUUACUGGCUGGUUGUGGUCCUCCAUUGUCCUCGCCAUCAGCUUGUGCUGUCAGUGUUCUGUGUACAGUUGAGUUGCUGGGUCCAGGCUCAGCCUCUGCGCUGUCAUCAGAUUGGCUUUGAUAAACCUGUGAUGACUGUGGUUUUUCAUUGCAUUCAUUCUUCAGAGGAACAACAGUGAAAGGGACCGUAAUGAUACCAGCCUCCUGCAAAAGGUGAAGUUGCUGUCCCUGCUGACAUAUCCAGAGUUUCUCUUGUUCCUCUUUAAUGUCCUCCUGGUCAACACUCAGGUUCCACUUCUGGUCAGCGAGAAUAUCUUCUUUCAUCACCAACAACUGGUGCAUGUCUGCGUUUCUGGUUGUUUGUGAUCCUCCACAGUCGUCUCCAUGACCUUCUGUUUUCAGUCUUCUGGGUUCAGUUGAGUUGCUGGCGAGAAGCUCCACUUCUGUACUCUCAUCUUUUUGGUUUUGAUGAAACUGCAAUGACUGCGUUUUUUCUUCAUCUUCACUCUUCACAG